RNAcentral lists this ribosomal RNA (249 nucleotides) under uncultured bacterium. RNAcentral describes it as "partial 16S ribosomal RNA". It matches the Rfam family "Bacterial small subunit ribosomal RNA", at positions 796 to 1041 of the family's 1533-position model. The record is from RNAcentral.
CACGCUGUAAACGAUGGGUGCUAGGUGUCUCGGGUAUUGACCCCCGAGGUGCCGUAGCUAACGCGUUAAGCACCCCGCCUGGGAAGUACGGUCGCAAGACUAAAACUCAAAGGAAUUGACGGGGGCCCGCACAAGCGGUGGAGCAUGUGGUUUAAUUCGACGCAACGCGCAGAACCUUACCCGGGCUAGAAAAGUACGGAAGUCUUUAGAAAUAGAGAUGUGCUCGCAAGAGAGCCGUAAUCCAGGUGC